Long non-coding RNA from Saccostrea cuccullata (small rock oyster), 851 nucleotides. RefSeq lists it as uncharacterized. The transcript is spliced from 3 exons. The record is from RefSeq and is a predicted model, not a curated record. NCBI's taxonomy places the organism in Eukaryota, Metazoa, Mollusca, Bivalvia, Ostreida, Ostreidae.
UUUAUUGUAUAAAAGUACAUAAAACAAACGCGAUCUUUGGAACCUCCAGGAUACUUUGGGAAGGUGUAAAAAUGGAAGGUGCACCACUCUGGAAGCGAAGGUGCAACGAUAUGGAAAUGAAGGGGCGGUAGCAGACGUUGCUAAUGUAAACAAAUAUAUGUCAGGAGUAUAUAAGGGAAACUCUGGUAACUGGAGAAGGUGCACACUAUUACAAUUAAAUAGUCACCUUCUGUAAUUUGGAUGGGUUAUUAAAUAACACCUUCUGGGCCAUUCUAAGGCUCCGUAAUCACAAUCUAUAUCCGACAAAUGUAAAUCCCAAACUGGUACCUUCAACGGGCCUCUCUGUUUAUAAACACAGAAGAGUUACGUCAUUAUCCAAUCAGCGAGCGUCUAACAAACAAGGUAGCGCGUGCGAAACUUCAAGCCGAAGUAAUCAAAUACGGAGGGAAAUCGAAGCACAUUAGGGCUGUAAACAUGGAUUAUGGAUAAAAUAUCGCUUAUGGUGGAUGGUAAAACAUGAAAUAAACACAGAACAUUUGUCCUCAAAUGAAAACAAAGAAGAAGGCAUGGAUGGUUGGAGACAUGGUGUUUAUGGCAACAGUUGGUAUGAAUGGUUCUCGAACUCCUGAAGACAAAAGAACUGGGCUUCCCUCUGGAGGCAAAACAGAAGGGAAGGAUCAGAUGGAAGACAGUUCAGUGGGAGCUCAGCUCCAUGACGGAGAUAAUUCAGGAUGAAAAUAAAUAGUUUUGGAUCUCGGUCGAUGAAGUAGGUGUAAAUAUUGUCAACGGCAUAGGGUUUCAGUGGAGAUGAUGGGAGGAUCAUCCGAGCCAGCAGGGAGCUUGGGUCAGCC